This 445-nucleotide unclassified non-coding RNA is filed under the name Hevea brasiliensis (rubber tree). The record is from RNAcentral. Lineage: Eukaryota; Viridiplantae; Streptophyta; Magnoliopsida; Malpighiales; Euphorbiaceae.
AAGAUCCCCUAGCUAGGGUUUUCAUUUUCUCUCUAUCUGCACCAAAGGUAAGUUUCAAGAGCGUUGCGGAUAGCCUUGCAAUGACGACCGUCGUUCCUACCUCCGAAGAAGAUCCGGCCCUCGCCGUCGUCCGCUUCACCUCUGAGCUUGCCUGGGCGGAUGCGGGUCCUGAGGUUGUAGAGCAACAAGUUUCUAGGCUUUGUUUGGAAGCUCAAGAAUGUAUCGUGAUGGGCAGAUGGCUGGACUUGGCCUCUCUAAUGCUUACUUCAGCUGACUUGAUAUUCUCCAACUCUAAGGUGUCAGAGAAAGAUCUUGAGUGUAUCUUCACUGUUAUCUGCAAUCUUGUCUCUAAGUCUGAAAGUCCUGAUGAACAACUUGAGAUGGCAAAACUUUUAUGUGGAAAAAUCAUUCAGCAACCAACUGACAAGCCUGCAUUGCGAUUGAA